This 77-nucleotide transfer RNA is filed under the name Aquimarina sp. MAR_2010_214. Its description in RNAcentral is "tRNA-Ala". It matches the Rfam family "tRNA". From Rfam's summary of the family: Transfer RNA (tRNA) molecules are approximately 80 nucleotides in length. Their secondary structure includes four short double-helical elements and three loops (D, anti-codon, and T loops). Lineage: Bacteria; Pseudomonadati; Bacteroidota; Flavobacteriia; Flavobacteriales; Flavobacteriaceae. RNAcentral also lists the same sequence under 2 other names. The record is from RNAcentral.
GGGGAUGUAGCUCAGCUGGCUAGAGCGCUUGACUGGCAGUCAAGAGGUCGUGGGUUCGACUCCCAUCUUCUCCACCU